This 61-nucleotide transfer RNA is filed under the name Pristomyrmex punctatus. Its description in RNAcentral is "tRNA-Leu". The record is from RNAcentral. Lineage: Eukaryota; Metazoa; Arthropoda; Insecta; Hymenoptera; Formicidae.
AUUAUUUUGGCAGAUUAGUGCAUUAAAUUUAGAAUUUAAGAAAAACAUGAUUUAUAUAAUA